Molecule: non-coding RNA, 96 nt
Organism: Anopheles minimus
Lineage: Eukaryota; Metazoa; Arthropoda; Insecta; Diptera; Culicidae
Source: Rfam
CCUUAUCUGGAUCGGGUUUCGCUGGCUAACGUGUUGUAAAAGCGAGUAGCGAGUAAAUCUUCAAUUCGUUGUCGACGAAACCUGCACGGAAUAAGG